UUUAAAUAAUUUUACUGUGAAACUGCGAAUGGCUCAUUAUAUAAGUUAUCGUUUAUUUGAUAGUACCUUACUACAUGGAUAACCGUGGUAAUUCUAGAGCUAAUACAUGCUAAAAACCUCGACUUCGGAAGAGGUGUGUUUAUUAGAUUAAAAACCAAUGCCCUUCGGGGCUCACUGGCGAUUCAUAAUAACCUCUCGAAUCGCAUGGCCUUGCGCCGGCGAUGGUUCAUUCAAAUUUCUUCCCUAUCAACUUUCGAUGCUAGAGUAGUGUUCUAGCAUGGUUACAACGGGUAACGGAGGGUUAGGGCUCGACCCCGGAGAAGGAGCCUGAGAAACGGCUACUACAUCCAAGGAAGGCAGCAGGCGCGCAAAUUACCCAAUCCCGACACGGGGAGGUAGUGACGAUAAAUACUGAUACAGGGCUCUUUUGGGUCUUGUAAUUGGAAUGAGUACAAUUUAAAUCCCUUAACGAGGAACAAUUGGAGGGCAAGUCUGGUGCCAGCAGCCGCGGUAAUUCCAGCUCCAAUAGCGUAUAUUAAAGUUGUUGUGGUUAAAAAGCUCGUAGUAGAACCUUGGGCCUGGCUGGCCGGUCCGCCUCACCGCGUGCACUGGUCCGGCCGGGCCUUUCCCUCUGUGGAACCGCAUGCCCUUCACUGGGUGUGCCGGGGAAACAGGACUUUUACUUUGAAAAAAUUAGAGUGCUCCAGGCAGGCCUUUGCUCGAAUACAUUAGCAUGGAAUAAUAGAAUAGGACGUGUGGUUCUAUUUUGUUGGUUUCUAGGACCGCCGUAAUGAUUAAUAGGGACAGUCGGGGGCAUCAGUAUUCAAUUGUCAGAGGUGAAAUUCUUGGAUUUAUUGAAGACUAACUACUGCGAAAGCAUUUGCCAAGGAUGUUUUCAUUUAUCAGGAACGAAAGUUAGGGGAUCGAAGACGAUCAGAUACCGUCGUAGUCUUAACCAUAAACUAUGCCGACUAGGGAUCGGACGAUGUUAUUUUUUGACUCGUUCGGCACCUUACGAGAAAUCAAAGUGCUUGGGCUCCAGGGGGAGUAUGGUCGCAAGGCUGAAACUUAAAGAAAUUGACGGAAGGGCACCACCAGGGGUGGAGCCUGCGGCUUAAUUUGACUCAACACGGGGAAACUCACCAGGUCCAGACACAAUGAGGAUUGACAGAUUGAGAGCUCUUUCUUGAUUUUGUGGGUGGUGGUGCAUGGCCGUUCUUAGUUGGUGGAGUGAUUUGUCUGCUUAAUUGCGAUAACGAACGAGACCUUAACCUGCUAAAUAGCCCGUAUUGCUUUGGCAGUACGCCGGCUUCUUAGAGGGACUAUCGG
Molecule: ribosomal RNA, 1329 nt
Filed under: Colletotrichum fioriniae
Lineage: Eukaryota; Fungi; Ascomycota; Sordariomycetes; Glomerellales; Glomerellaceae
Description: SSU rRNA
Rfam family: Eukaryotic small subunit ribosomal RNA
Source: RNAcentral